UACGGAAGGCAGCAGUGGGGAAUAUUGCACAAUGGGCGCAAGCCUGAUGCAGCCAUGCCGCGUGUAUGAAGAAGGCCUUCGGGUUGUAAAGUACUUUCAGUCGUGAGGAAGGUGUUAAGGUUAAUAACCUUAGCAAUUGACGUUAGCGACAGAAGAAGCACCGGCUAACUCCGUGCCAGCAGCCGCGGUAAUACAGAGGGUGCGAGCGUUAAUCGGAAUUACUGGGCGUAAAGGGCACGCAGGCGGUUAAUUAAGUUGGAUGUGAAAUCCCCGGGCUUAACCUGGGAAUGGCAUUCAAGACUGGUUAGCUAGAGUCUUGUAGAGGGGGUAGAAUUCCAUGUGUAGCGGUGAAAUGCGUAGAGAUGUGGAGGAAUACCGGUGGCGAAGGCGGCCCCUGGGACAAAGACUGACGCUCAUGUGCGAAAGCGUGGGGAGCAAACAGGAUUAGAUACC
This 453-nucleotide ribosomal RNA is filed under the name uncultured bacterium. Its description in RNAcentral is "bacterial SSU rRNA". It matches the Rfam family "Bacterial small subunit ribosomal RNA", at positions 340 to 786 of the family's 1533-position model. The record is from RNAcentral.